UUUUGAACCUGGAAUGGCCUAUGUUGCACUCAGCCGCACAACCUCACUUAAAGGACUCUACAUCACAGACUUUGAUGAAAGGAAAAUCUAUGCUGAUCCUGCCAUCACAGAUGCACUCAAAAAUAUGAGACAUGCAUCAUUUGAGAAUGCAAGACCACUGUUGCAAUUCUUAAAAUCAGUUGUUCCCACAGUCCCCACGUUGACAAUUAUCCAUCACAAUGCACAAGGUCUCCCAACUCACAUGGAGGACAUGAGAUGCCACCAUGAACUCAGCCUUGCUGAUGUUUUAUGCAUAACAGAAACUCACUUGUCUGGAUCAUCAGUUUCUCCCCGCUUCCAGCUCGAACAGUACAACAUGGCCACACGCAACAGACACGUCUCUUACACAAACCAUACAGACAUGGCAAAGGUAAAUGGCGGUGGAGUUGCAAUGUACUACAAAACAGUUCUUACAGCAGAGUCUCGAAAAUACCUGCAAAAUGUGACUGACCUUGAAUUUGUUGUUAUCAAGGUUGAAUCGCCAGUCACAGCUUUGAUAGCAACUGUAUACAGGCCACCAAAUUACAGCCACGUGAGGUUUUACCACAAAUGCAAUGUCUUUUGGACUCAUUGGAAAUGAUGAAUUGCCAACCAAUUAUUGUUUGUGGAGACUUCAAUGAGGACCUUAUGAGCAGAGGAAAAAACCCAUCCAAGAACUGUUUCAGUCAAGAGGAUAUGCACAACUUAUUACUGCUGCAACUACCGAAAAACACACAUUGAUUGAUCACCUUUACAUAUCACAGCCAAACGCCUGCCUCCAAUCAGGUGUUCUGAAUACAUAUCACAGUUAUCACAACCCCAUUUAUUGUGUAAUUCACUAACACAAAAUGACUGCAAGGUUGUGAGGGAUAUGGACUUGCCAAGUGAUCUUAGUGUCUUUGCAACUGAGCACACUCUACCACCAACAAGGACAGCUCACCAGUGGGAGCUGAUAGAUAAGACUGCUCUCAUCCAUUGAAGAGCUGACCAGAAACGUGAACAGAGAGACUGCAACUGCACCUGAUGGGAUCCCUGCCAUAACAGAUGUGUUCUGUCCAGUGAAGGCAGUGGAGAAGCCCUACACUGAUCUUGAAACUGUGCCACGCUAGUAGAGACCGGCUACAAGGAUGGGCAGCUGUUUUCGCAAAGUCAGCCAACCACUUGCUUCCAAAUGACCCUUAUCCAGAAGUAUCCGUGAGUGCCUCAUCAACAGAAACUAAAGUGGAGACCUACCUCUCAGAGAAA
Molecule: long non-coding RNA, 1263 nt
Organism: Oreochromis aureus
Lineage: Eukaryota; Metazoa; Chordata; Actinopteri; Cichliformes; Cichlidae
Source: Ensembl